Long non-coding RNA from Talpa occidentalis (Iberian mole), 132 nucleotides. RefSeq lists it as uncharacterized. NCBI's taxonomy places the organism in Eukaryota, Metazoa, Chordata, Mammalia, Eulipotyphla, Talpidae. The record is from RefSeq and is a predicted model, not a curated record. The transcript is spliced from 3 exons.
UGCUGGCGCUCAUACAAGGAGCUUCAAGCCUUCAAGGACUCGCCAUUAAUGGAUGCCAGAUUACAGACAAAGCCAUUGCAGCUUUAGUUAGAAAGCAUGGAAACAGUCUCCACAAAAUAGAAGUCUUUGGUU